RNAcentral lists this ribosomal RNA (238 nucleotides) under uncultured bacterium. Its description in RNAcentral is "partial 16S ribosomal RNA". It matches the Rfam family "Bacterial small subunit ribosomal RNA", at positions 118 to 343 of the family's 1533-position model. The record is from RNAcentral.
UGGGUAACCUGCCUCAAAGAGGGGAAUAGCCUCCCGAAAGGGUGAUUAAUACCGCAUAAUAUGUUUAAGUCGCAUGACUUUAACAUCAAAGGAUUUUCUUUUAAGAAAUUCCACUUUGAGAUGGACCCGCGGCGCAUUAGCUAGUUGGUGAGGAACGGCUCACCAAGGCAACGAUGCGUAGCCGACCUGAGAGGGUNAUCGGCCACAUUGGAACUGAGACACGGUCCAGCUCCGUAGG